UUUGAAACGAAGACAGAUCCAUAUCAACAAAGAGAGCCAAGAAAAUUGUUUGUUACGCGAUAUAUACUCACUUGGAGCUAAAAGAAAAGAAACAAAGGACAAGUUCAAUAUGCAGGUUUACAAUUUGGAAGUGAUGCAGGUUCUUUGGAAUGUCUACAACCUUUCAGGAGAAAAUUUUUUUUCGAAAGCAUGGCACAGCAAGAAAAAGAUAUAAGACACUACAAGACAUUCCAAGUGAUUUUGAAUAAGUCAAUUGAUUGACUUUUUCAAUGUAUUCUUAAAUAAAUCAAAUAGUUGAUGUAAAAUGGUGUUUUGAUCUCAUCUCUUAAGCCAAUUAUCAAUGAUUAUUGACUUAAGAUGUAACCCUAUCAGA
Long non-coding RNA from Mytilus californianus (California mussel), 373 nucleotides. RefSeq lists it as uncharacterized. Lineage: Eukaryota; Metazoa; Mollusca; Bivalvia; Mytilida; Mytilidae. The transcript has 3 exons. The record is from RefSeq and is a predicted model, not a curated record.